GGGCAGAGAGGCAGGGAGACCAAGGAUCUGAAGCAGGCUGUGCGCUGACGUGAGAUCAUGACCUGAGCCAAAGUUGGGCGCUUAACCUUCUGAGCCACCCAGGCGCCCCCCCCCUUUUUUUUUUUAAGAUAAGUGUGUUCUUAGUCCCCUUCACCUAUUUCACUCAUCCCCCCACCCAAGCAUCUGAACUCUUAAUUCCUAGGUUUUCCUCCUCUGUAAGACAAACCCCUAGUCCUGGGCUAACCCGUCCCUCCCCAGCCCCCAGGAGCUUCGAUCCCUUGGCUAUUCCUAUUGACCCCCUCUGUCUUCCUACCUUUCCUUCUCUUCUGCGCUCUUCAACGUCAUUUUGCAAACAAGCUGUCACUCCUAGGUCAAAACAAAACCCCUCCCCUAACCCACAGCCUCCUCCAGUUCUCUUUUGACUUGCAUAUCCACAAGAUAUCUCUAUUGGGUAUCCUCACCUGGAAGUCUCACAGCCAUCCCAAACCAAAUACAGUAAAACCUUGUUUGGUGAGGGUUCCCCAAGGUGAGCAAACACUUCUAAUCAAAUUUAAUUUGCCAAACGAGUGGUGUCUUGCAAUGCGAGUAGUACGUGACGAUGAUCGCAACUGAGCCGAUGGUUCUUGAAAUUUGCUCCGAGAUACAAGCGCUUUGGAUGACAAUCACGUUUCCGGACCGAAUUAAUGCUCGCAAACCAAGGUUUUCCCGGAUAUACCAAACUGAACCCUUGAUCCCUCCGCUUCUCCUCCAAAAAACACCUGUUCUCGUGGUCUUUCCCUCUCGGUAAAUGACACCACCAUCCACCCUGUUGCUCCGACCAGGAACUUGGGCAUGACCCUUGCCCUCUUCUCCCUGCUCUACACGCGGUCACAAGUCUCGCUUCUACUAAGUCUCUCUCGUCUGUGCAGUUCACGCCAUCUCCACUGCCUCUGCCUUCGUGCCGUCACCAUCAUUGCUCACCCAGACCACAAACCACAGCCUCCUACCAGGCUGCUCCCAGCCUACCCUGCCCUACUUCCAACCAGUCUGACCUCAGCAGUCCACACAGCAACCCCGGUGAGAGUCCUUCAACCCAGAGCGCAGACCCUCCGUCCGAGUUCGAACCCUUCAAUGUUUGCCUGGGCCUCAGGGUAGAAUCCAAACUCUCUCUCAAGGCCUAGAGGCUCCCGGUGAUCUGACCCCAGCUUCCGCCUUCAGCCCUGUUCCCUCAUCACCCCUUCUGUCAGCACCCUCUCCUGCCACCACCCACCGAACACGUCCCCUUUCUGCACUUACUUCCACAUAGAGUGACUUUCAGUUCCAUCAAGUCUCCCAGCUUUCCCCCGACCGGGCCUCUUUGCAGGCCUCUGCCCAGGAUGUGAACGUGCCCCUUCUUCCUUCUGCCCAGGAUGUGAACGUGCCCCACUCGGUGCCCCGGACCUGAGUCCUCCGCAGCCCGCGGGGCUCAGCUGGCUCUUCCUGGGCCCCUCCCCCAUCAGGGCAGGACUUCGUGCCUUCCGGGGCCGCAUUAGAGGCUGCGACUGUCUAUCUACACUCACCUGCCGCACCGUAGGCCGUGAGCCUCUGAAGACUGGAGUCUGUGGAUGUGGCUCAUCCCCGCAGCCCAGCACCCAGCACCCAGCCCUGCGGGUCUGCCUCAUCGCCCGUGCUCAUUGCCCUUCCGUUCCCAUGCCCCGUGGAAACAUUUUUGUUUUCUAACGAAUACCCUAUUAGAUGUACAUGUCGAGAGUUACAAAUGUGUCACUAGAAGUUCAUGACUUUUGAACCAGUUUCCUCAUUUUAAGUGGAAGGAAACCGAAGUCCCCAAAGCUGAAGUGAUUGUUCGCAGCAGGCCCGUUGUAGCGAUAAAACUGGGACCAGACCUCAGAUUUCUUCUUCUUCUUUUUGUAACAGUUUAUUUAUUUAGGAGUCUCUACACCCAACGUGGGGUUCAAACUCAUGACUCUGAGUCUAAGAGUCACAUGCUUUUCUGACUGAGCCAGCCGGGUGCCCCUAGAUCUCGGAUUUCUUGCUUCUAGUACUCUAUCACCUCUCUUACACCAUGCGGUGAUGGAUUAAAGGUGACCCUGAGUUCUUUGAUACUCUUCCUGAUGGUGAGCUCUGUAUCCCCUUCCCUUGAAUCCACGUGGGUUUUGCAACUGCUCAGACCAAUAAAGUAGAGCAAAAGAGAUAUACUGGGCAGAGCCCAAACUGAAAACGUAGGGUCCCUUCUAAACAUUGAUUAAGAAUUUCAAGAUGGCGGGGUGCCCACGUGACUCAGUUCAUAGAGCAUGUGACUCUUGAUCUCAGAGUCAUGGGUUCGAGUCCCAUGUUGGAUGUAGAGAAUGCUGAAAAAAUGAAAUAAACUUUAAAAAAUAGAAUAUUUCGGGGGCACCUGGGUGGCUCAGUCGGUCAAGUCUCUGACUCUGGCUCAGGUCAUGAUCUCCCGGUUCGAGAGUUCCGGCCCGUGUCGGGCUCUGUGCUGACAGCCCGGAGCCGGGAACCUGCUUCGGAUUCUCUGUCUCCCUCUCUCUCUGCCCCUCCCCAGCUCGCAUUCUGUCUGUCUCUCUCUCUCAAAAACAAAAACAAAUCAAAAAUUUAAAAAAAAAGAAUAAAAAAUUUUUUUGAAAGAAUUUCAAGAUGGCAGAGAAGCAGGGCCUUGAACUUAGCAGCGCCCCGUGUGACUGCACAGUCUGUGUGCCCAUGAACAUGCCAGUUUCAGGGCUCAGGUCGGAAGAAACCGGCAGCGGCUUCCAGUUCCUAUUUCUUGGAACGUUCAGUCAAGCCAGAUGCCAUGCAAGCAGUCAGCUGCCCUGAGAUCACCACGCUGCGAGAAGCCCAGGCUACACGGAGAGGCCCUGGAGGAUGAGAUGCCACGUGCAGAGGAACAGACCGAGGAGCGCCAGGUGCUCAGCAUGUGAGCGUCGGGGUUCACAACAAUCACCCCAAGAUGUGCCACUUUCGCAUGCGGAUUCGUUCAAGCUGAAAGCAAUCAAGGCCCAAAAGACUCAGGAAGAGGGGCGCCUGGGUGGCUCAGUCGGUUGGGCGUUGGACGUCAGCUUAGGUCAUGGUCUCACAGCUCAUGGGUUCGAGCCCUGCAUCAGGCUCUGUGCUGAUAGCUCAGAGCCUGGAGCCUGCUUUGGAUUCUGUCUCAGUCUCUCUCUGCCUCUCCCCACUCACGCUCUGUCUCUCCCUCUCUCAAAUAUAAAUAACAAUUUUUUAACAAAGUAAAUGUGAGUUCAGAAUACUUCCCUUGGCCCCUAGGAAUACUUCUCUGUCAUUGCACUUAUAACACUGUAUGAAAAUUAAUUGUCUGUGUGUCUGUUUCCUUGACUAGAUCAAUGUUUUUCAAACUGUGGAUGCAACCUAUUAAUGGGUUAUGAAAUAUAUGUAUUUUUUAUUAAAAUUUUUUUUAAUGUU
Molecule: long non-coding RNA, 3399 nt
Organism: Acinonyx jubatus (cheetah)
Lineage: Eukaryota; Metazoa; Chordata; Mammalia; Carnivora; Felidae
Exons: 2
Source: RefSeq, a predicted model, not a curated record